GGAGUUUGGGCCGUGUCUCAGUCCCAAUGUGGCCGUUCACCCUCUCAGGCCGGCUACUGAUCGUCGCUUUGGUGGGCCGUUACCCCGCCAACUGGCUAAUCAGACGCGGGUCCAUCUCAUACCACCGGAGUUUUUCACACUGCAUCAUGCGAUGCUGUGCGCUUAUGCGGUAUUAUCAACCGUUUCCAGUUGUUAUCCCCCUGUAUGAGGCAGGUUACCCACGCGUUACUCACCCGUCCGCCACUCGAUUGGUCGGUGCAAGCACCUUCCUCUCUCGUUCGACUUGCAUGUGUUAGGCACGCCGCCAGCGUUCAUC
This 316-nucleotide ribosomal RNA is filed under the name uncultured Clostridia bacterium. RNAcentral's name for it is "partial 16S ribosomal RNA". The record is from RNAcentral. Lineage: Bacteria; Bacillati; Bacillota; Clostridia.